UACGUAGGGGGCAAGCGUUGUUCGGAAUUACUGGGCGUAAAGGGCGCGUAGGCGGCAUGGCAAGUCGGGAGUGAAAGCCCGGGGCUCAACCCCGGAACGGCUUUCGAAACUGCCAAGCUAGAGUACGGAAGGGGCAACUGGAAUUCCCAGUGUAGCGGUGAAAUGCGUAGAUAUUGGGAAGAACACCGGAGGCGAAGGCGGGUUGCUGGGCCGAUACUGACGCUGAGACGCGAAAGCGUGGGGAGCGAACAGG
This 253-nucleotide ribosomal RNA is filed under the name uncultured bacterium. RNAcentral's name for it is "partial 16S ribosomal RNA". It matches the Rfam family "Bacterial small subunit ribosomal RNA", at positions 524 to 776 of the family's 1533-position model. The record is from RNAcentral.